UAGUGGCGAACGGGUGAGUAACACGUGGGCAAUCUGCCCUUCACUCUGGGACAAGCCCUGGAAACGGGGUCUAAUACCGGAUAACACCUGCCCGGGCAUCUGGGUGGGUUAAAAGCUCCGGCGGUGAAGGAUGAGCCCGCGGCCUAUCAGCUUGUUGGUGAGGUAGUGGCUCACCAAGGCGACGACGGGUAGCCGGCCUGAGAGGGCGACCGGCCACACUGGGACUGAGACACGGCCCAGACUCCUACGGGAGGCAGCAGUGGGGAAUAUUGCACAAUGGGCGAAAGCCUGAUGCAGCGACGCCGCGUGAGGGAUGACGGCCUUCGGGUUGUAAACCUCUUUCAGCAGGGAAGAAGCGAAAGUGACGGUACCUGCAGAAGAAGCGCCGGCUAACUACGUGCCAGCAGCCGCGGUAAUACGUAGGGCGCAAGCGUUGUCCGGAAUUAUUGGGCGUAAAGAGCUCGUAGGCGGCUUGUCACGUCGGGGUGUGAAGCCCGGGGCUUAACCCCGGGUCUGCAUUCGAUACGGGCUAGCUAGAGUGUGGNAGGGGAGAUCGGAAUUCCU
RNAcentral lists this ribosomal RNA (564 nucleotides) under Streptomyces sp. 316D12. RNAcentral describes it as "bacterial SSU rRNA". It matches the Rfam family "Bacterial small subunit ribosomal RNA", at positions 93 to 671 of the family's 1533-position model. Lineage: Bacteria; Bacillati; Actinomycetota; Actinomycetes; Kitasatosporales; Streptomycetaceae. The record is from RNAcentral.